AAAAAAAAAAGAGAGAGAGAGAGAGAGAAAGAUAGGUAGCUCCCUGCCUGCCUGCCUGCCUCCUCCCCUCCCCCGAGCCGGGCAGCUCCGAUCCUGCAGAAACGCCUGAAACUGUUUCAGACCAAGACAUGGAAGAAGAAUGUACAACGUGCGAUCCUGAACACGCCAAUCUCCCCAGCGAGGAGAUUAUUACUCUCUCUCUCUCCCCAGCGGGGGAUUAGCUCUCGCAGCAAGGUACGCACUGACGUCACCCCCAGCAAUCUGCCCCCGACCUCAACAGCACCAGCAGAGCAGCACCAACCGCCAGCAGGCUAGAGGACAGCUGGCCUUGUAGAGCCCUGACUCAGGCAGGAAACAAACUCAGAAGCACUAGAUGGGAGUCACGCAGAAAUCUGUGCACGACAAAUGUGACCAGUCCCCUGCUAGCAACAGCCAAAUCGGUAAUGGCACCCACAUAAUUAAUCCACUGCUUUGAAUUUUCUGCUCCUCCAUGAAGUAUCCAUUAGCACAGUCCCGUGUUUGGCCUAGUAUUUGAAGCAGUGCAAGUCUCUCCAGCACUGGAUUUCACAGGUAUUACUGACAGAAGAGCGACAGCAACCCUUGAGGUUUCUUCCAAGCUCCAGGAGAGGGCUUUUUUUUUUUUUCUUUUUUUUAAUAGCACACUCCCAUCUGUUUGUUCCCUGUGUUCCUGUUUUUCCUUAUCUUCGUUUGUUAUUCCUAACCUGCACUCAUUCUCUCCUCACUCUUGGCUCUUCAUCCCAGUUUUGUUUUUCUUAUCUAGUUAAUGGUAGUGUCUGAUUCUCAUCACUGUUCCAGCUGUCCUAGCUGUACUUUUCUUUAAUCUUAUUCUGGGGCUCCUCACUCUCAGAUUCACAUUUAGCUGUGCAAUUUUUGUUUGUUUUCACUCCCAUUGUCUAGUUGCUCCUUUUCUUAGGCUUUUUCACAUGAUUUAACUUCCACUUAUGUCAACACUCAUCUUCCUUUUAUAUUCUGUGCUCUGGGUGUGUACCAAAAAGUUGGUCUUGCUCUUUGACUCUAUAACCCAAUUACAGACUUAGCCUUGUGCUUGGCCAAGGGUAUAGCCUUACAUCUCUGUUCAAGCAGUUUUGGUUGCCUGAAACCUUCCUUCUUUCUUUUUAGUCUUAACAUCUCAGGCCCACUGCCUUAUGCAAACAAUUUCCUUGUCCCAAAAUACACCCACCAUUCCCACUGCUGAUUUCUCCUAAUCGCUUCCCAGUGAAAAAAGGUUUAGAAAGAAAGAAGUGUGAUAUCAGCUUUACCAUGCUGCAAGAUCAGUACUUGCCUACUCAAAUCAGACAGCCUGCCCCUCUUCAUCCCAUAGCUACAUCAUGGAGCAUUGAGCAUGUGAAAGCAUCUCAUCUUCUCAGUUCCAGAUCCAAGCAAGGCACAGCUCAAAACGAUCACGUAAAAUGUCAUUGCAGAUGAGAUACCCACAUAAGAUAGUUGCUGAAGCUGCAUUUAAGGCUGACUGUGGUGGCAUAUAAGUCUGUAGUCUUAAAAACAAAAAAGAUACAUCCCUUGACCUAGGGGCUGACAUUUUCCUCUUUUCUGUCUGCUCAGGAUUUAAGUACAUUUCCUACAGGCUGAGCGUACUGAAGACCUUCCAAAAAUACUGCUACAACUUUUAAUUAGGAGCAAACCCAUAUAUUCCAUUUUCAAAUGGAGCUCCAUUUUCAAAUACCUGGGUAAUUUAAGAUAAUAUUUAAAAGAAAUGUUAAAGAACAAGAAAUCAAAACUACAAAUCAGCCUACCCACAUGGAUACCCACAUGGAAAAUAUUAUACCCAAUCUUCACAAUUAAACAAAGUUAUGUAAACAACUUAAACAGUAUCUAUUUACAGACAGCAUCAGCAAACUUGAAUAAUAAUUACCCUACCACAUUCUGCUUAUAGCUGUGUGUUAUGCCAUCUCCAUUUUUAAUACUUUAAGAACUGCAAAAGAAGAGCAUAUAAAACUACAUUGAGAACACAUGCUGAUGUUAAAACAAGUGAUCAAGCAACAACAACAAAACCAGUGGUGCAAUACUUAAAUUAGAAACUGUUCUGUGUUUGCUCAGCAUCCCUGAUCCCCAUCAGGCAAUAAAUCAAUUUGCAGUAGCUGUGGACAGCUAUUUAAACAUAGGGCCAGAAGAGCUUAAUUGUUAAAGCAAUGUUCAAAGUUAGAAGGCUCAGUAUAGGAGGUCAUAUUAAAUACUCGCUUCUCUGAAACCAGCUGCAUUCCAAGUAUGAGGAGGCAUCCUGCCCUCCUCUUAAUUAAAAAACACAGCCUAUGAGCCCUGAGCUUAGCAGAGCUUAGCUUGCAAUUCUUCAGAAUGCAGACAGAGACUGUCAGAUGAAGAACUGACAUCUAAAUGCCUGCCAACUUGAUUUUGUCUGGUUUACUUUAUUAUCUAGCAAGCAAUACAGUUAAGGAACUGUUUUGAAAUUUUAGUUUAAUUUUACAAAUUGGCAAAGCACUCAAUUCGAUUCUCAGCUUUGCUCCUUGUCAAAGUCUACAGCAAACUUACUUUUUACUUGCAUAUGAGCUGAACAGGAUUACUUAUCAGUGAUCUUCCUAAACAGUGAUUGCUGGUGAACAGUUUCUUUGGGAAUGAUGAUACAAGUACAAAAAAUACAAAAAUAAUAUUACUACUCCUGUUCUAUCAUAAACCUUACUGUGAUUCUUUUGAAAUAUUUUGCAGUUUCCAAUUUUAUCGCUGAACAUUUUGAGCAUUGUAAUGUUUUAAGUUAUAAUUCUACUUCAGGUACUAGUAAGCACUUCCUUAAUUUAAAAUACAUUAUUACUGAGACUUAUGAAUGUGAAAACAGCCUUUUGAUUAAAGUUGAACUGAACAAUCAUUGUACCGUUAUUUAAUUGUUUUACAUAUGCAUUUUAUGUCACAUUCAAAUAAUUUAUCCAGAGUAUAAAAAAAAUUACAAAGUAGUCACUGAAAUCUUAACAACAACAACAAGGAAAGCCAGCUUCAGAUUUGGUCCAAUUUAUGUCUGUAAAUUUUUAAAAUAUGUUUAAUGCAGCUUGUAUUUGUCAUCAAGCAGAAAGACCCAAAUAUUUUCAGUACCAGUGAAACUGAAAGCUAGUUUUUUUGAUAGAUAGUCCAGAUUCCCAGUCUUUUCCAAUAAAAGACACCUCUGAAACCCUCACAUACAAAGUAGCAGUAAUACAAGUGAUGAUUUUGACAUUACUUAGAUUUUUAUUAUAAUUAUUAUUUAAACACAACUUCAGGUGGCACUCUAGCAGUGGAAAAUUGUGGUCAACUGAUUGGAUGAAAAAGCACUAUGUUCACUUUUUUCUAGAAUAACCAUAACAAGAAGAAUUAAAUUCUGUCCACCCUGCAACUAUGAACAACUGCUGUUGCUAGACUGUGAAGUGGCUUUUGUUGUUCCCAGACUGACUAGGUGCAUCGGGUUAAUCUUACCCUCCAGUAUUCAGCAUACUGUCACAUUGCUGGGAGUCACUGGAUGAUUUUUGACAGAAGAAAGCCUCUGAUGAGCCUGAUCUUGAGUGACUGCCGGGCAUUUUGAUCUUCCAUUGAUUCCUAGAAGAUGAAGCUCAACACUUACAGAACAGGGUUCAUUGUUUUGAGCAAUACACUGCUCAAAUUAAAACCUCUGUUUUAGUUUACGUUGCAAUUUAUCAUGUAUGAUAAUGUCCUUCAAACUUCCUGCAGAAAACACAUAACAAUAAGACAGAAGAUGAGGAAUAAAAGCAAAUCUAGAAACCAUGGGUUAAUUAGGUUUUCUACGUAGACACAAUGUAUUCUUCUCAUUUGGGAUCACCAAAAGCAAAUAAGACGUACCACCAACUCCCAAAAGGAAGAAUGGCAAUUGUCUUACAGAAAAGAUCAAGAAACCACAAUACAAACAUUAUCAAUGACAGCAAUGUUGUCCUAUAGUUACCAGCUUUGUUUUACUUGCAAUAACAUUUACAUAACUUCUCAACAUGGCAGAGAACUUUUACCCCUUUCAACAGCAUUUCAUUAACAAAGGUGUUAUUGAAUUUUACAGUGCAGCAGUCCAGAAAAAAACGCAUAUACCUUAGGUAGCUUAGACAGUAUCUUUUUUUAAUCUUCUGUAGUAAGAGAUCAUGAAGAAAACUAAUUUCCUUGCAUUCAUAUUACCUGUUUCUCUCCAAAAUUAUUUGUAUUGUGCUUAUUAUCAAUUGCCCUUUGCUACAAUAGACCAUUUUCCUACACUAUGCAGCAUAACCUUUUUAAAAAGACAGCACUGAUGCACCAUGAAGCAAUAAUUAAUAUCCUUUGUCUGAAGCAUUCAGAGAUUAUAUUUUAUUUUCAAGAUUGAUGCUCUUUCACUCACUGAGGUGAUAGUUUUGUGCAACCCCCAACCAAUAAUGCAUAUUUUACAGUAAUUACACAUAUAUACAGAAUAUAAAUAUGCAUUAACUCAGCUUGCAGCCAUUUCAGUAGAAUUUUCCUUCAGAACAGUUACAGACUUAGGUCCAUACAACUCAUUUUACCCCCUCCUCAAAGCUACACAAACUGUAAUACUCGAGAUGUCACAAAACUGACUGUAGACAACUAUUGUCAACUGUGUGCAUGCAUACAUGCAAUAUAAAGUACCCAGCACAAAGUCUGAGAACAAAACACUUCCAAAAUUAAAACAGAACAUGGAACCACCAUUUACAUAAAUGUUUCAUUCUUCCAAGAAGCCAAACUGAAAACAUGUAUUCACAGAGUAAAGUUAAGGGUGAGAGAGGUCCCAGGCAUCUUUUAUAUCACCACAGUUCUAUGUUGCACAUGAUACAGUGUCUAGUCUCACCGCAAAAGCAGUGCAUAUUUUUGCUUUAUGCAUGUGCUACCAAUCUGAAGAGUCAGAUUUACUAUACAUGCUAGGCAUCUAGGUUUGGGUUUCCUAUGUGCUGGCAGAGGUGCCCUUUUCAGAAUAGGAAUUGAAGCCUUUACUGUAUGAAUAUGGACUUAAAAAAAGCAUCAUAUAUCUGCACUCCUCAGAAUCUCCAAGCAUGGAGCAAAAGAACCAAGGUGUAUGGUUGUGCUCAUGACUACACAGAGCUGU
This is a long non-coding RNA of Oxyura jamaicensis (ruddy duck), 5050 nucleotides long. RefSeq lists it as uncharacterized. The record is from RefSeq and is a predicted model, not a curated record. The transcript is spliced from 3 exons. NCBI's taxonomy places the organism in Eukaryota, Metazoa, Chordata, Aves, Anseriformes, Anatidae.